RNAcentral lists this ribosomal RNA (446 nucleotides) under uncultured bacterium. RNAcentral's name for it is "bacterial SSU rRNA". It matches the Rfam family "Bacterial small subunit ribosomal RNA", at positions 331 to 793 of the family's 1533-position model. The record is from RNAcentral.
CCAGACUCCUACGGGAGGCAGCAGUGGGGGAUAUUGCACAAUGGGGGAAACCCUGAUGCAGCGACGCCGCGUGUGGGAAGACGGUCCUCUGGAUUGUAAACCACUGUCCCCAGGGAAGAAAAUGACGGUACCUGACUAAGAAGCCCCGGCUAACUACGUGCCAGCAGCCGCGGCAAUACGUAGGGGGCAAGCGUUAUCCGGAUUUACUGGGUGUAAAGGGAGCGUAGACGGCAGUGCAAGUCCGGAGUGAAAGCCCGGGGCUCAACCCUGGGACUGCUCUGGAAACUGGAAAGCUGGAGUGCGGGAGGGGCAGGCGGAAUUCCUGGUGUAGCGGUGAAAUGCGUAGAUAUUAGGAGGAACACCGGUGGCGAAGGCGGCCUGCUGGACUGUAACUGACACUGAGGCUCGAAAGCGUGGGGAGCAAACAGGAUUAGAUACCCGCGUAG